CCUACGGGAGGCAGCAGUGAGGAAUAUUGGUCAAUGGGCGCGAGCCUGAACCAGCCAAGCCGCGUGAGGGAUGAAGGUACAGAGUAUCGUAAACCUCUUUUGUCAGGGAACAAAGGCGGGGACGUGUCCCCGGAUGAGUGUACCUGAAGAAAAAGCAUCGGCUAACUCCGUGCCAGCAGCCGCGGUAAUACGGAGGAUGCGAGCGUUAUCCGGAUUUAUUGGGUUUAAAGGGUGCGCAGGCGGUCUGUUAAGUCAGCGGUCAAAGCCCGGGGCUCAACCCCGGCCCGCCGUUGAAACUGGCAGUCUCGAGUUGGAGAGAAGUAUGCGGAAUGCGCGGUGUAGCGGUGAAAUGCAUAGAGAUCGCGCAGAACUCCGAUUGCGAAGGCAGCAUGCCGGCUCCACACUGACGCUGAGGCACGAAAGCGUGGGUAUCGAACAGGAUUAGAUACCCCUGUAGUC
Molecule: ribosomal RNA, 459 nt
Filed under: uncultured bacterium
Lineage: Bacteria
Description: partial 16S ribosomal RNA
Rfam family: Bacterial small subunit ribosomal RNA
Source: RNAcentral